GCACUGAUGAAGAGUCCUAAACAGGACGAAACAGCUGUCCAGUGC
This 45-nucleotide non-coding RNA is filed under the name Echinostoma caproni. The record is from RNAcentral. Lineage: Eukaryota; Metazoa; Platyhelminthes; Trematoda; Plagiorchiida; Echinostomatidae.